AUUGAACGCUGGCGGCAUGCCUUACACAUGCAAGUCGAACGGCAGCACGGGAGCUUGCUCCUGGUGGCGAGUGGCGAACGGGUGAGUAAUACAUCGGAACGUACCCUGAAGUGGGGGAUAACGUAGCGAAAGUUACGCUAAUACCGCAUAUUCUGUGAGCAGGAAAGAGGGGGAUCGCAAGACCUCUUGCUUUAGGAGCGGCCGAUGUCGGAUUAGCUAGUUGGUGAGGUAAAGGCUCACCAAGGCGACGAUCCGUAGCGGGUCUGAGAGGAUGAUCCGCCACACUGGGACUGAGACACGGCCCAGACUCCUACGGGAGGCAGCAGUGGGGAAUUUUGGACAAUGGGCGCAAGCCUGAUCCAGCCAUGCCGCGUGAGUGAAGAAGGCCUCGGUUGUAAGA
RNAcentral lists this ribosomal RNA (400 nucleotides) under uncultured bacterium. RNAcentral describes it as "bacterial SSU rRNA". It matches the Rfam family "Bacterial small subunit ribosomal RNA", at positions 30 to 430 of the family's 1533-position model. The record is from RNAcentral.